GAGAGCCCGGCCUGGGAGGCGGAGCCAGGGACCCCCGGGCUGAGCCUGAUUUCUGAGGGCGGCCGAGACCACCUCCCUCCAGGGGCUGCUGUGCCCACAGGGACCGGCGCCCUCUGUGCGUCCCACGGCUCCUGGCCCCGUUCAGCGCCUCCAGAGGCCUCACCCGGGCCCUCUCCACUGGGUCCACAGGGGCCUCAAAGCGCUGGCCCAGACGCGGGGUCACUCCCCUGAGCCUCCCGACCUUCCCAUGCAUUGGUCCUUUGGAGCCCUGGGUUCUGGAGUUUGUCCUUCCUAAAUGCCGCCAGCCAGGACGCGGCUGCUCCAGGACCACAGCGGACCGAGUGCGGCCGCGUCCCCUGCGGGCCACCCAUCAAGGGCACAGGGGGAGAGGCGUCGUGUAGGGUCCAGCCCUACUGGGUCUGUGGGUUUUUCUCCUCGUUUGCGGAGACGAGAGAUUGUAGAAAUAAAGACACAGGAAAAAGAGACAGAAAAAAACAGCUGGGCCCGGGGGACCACUACCACCUAGAUGCGGAGACCGGUAGUGGCCCCGAAUGCCUGGCUGCACUGUUACUUAUUGGAUACAAGGCAAAAGGGGCAGGCACCAGCAAAGGGCCCAGCUUCCCUGGUCUUGUCAGCCUUGCCAGUGCUAAGAGUGGACAGGCACUCCCAGUUACCUGCGGCACCUCCACGGCAGAAAUGGAGAAGACAUGGAGGCAGAAGAUCUUGGAGCCAUUGUAGCCGACCACAAAGCCCUGCAGCUUCUGCCGGUGCAUAGGGAAGUCUCCCUCUGAUGCCGAGCCACAGCUGGACUGUACUGCUGCCAUCUCGGCUCACUGCAACCUCCCUGCCUGAUUCUCCUGCCUCAGCCUGCCCAGUGCCUGCGAUUGCAGGCGCGCGCUGCCACGCCUGACUGGUUUUCGUAUUUUUUUGGUGGAGACGGGGUUUCGCUGUGUUGGCCGGGCUGGUCUCCAGCUCCUCACCGCGAGUGAUCCGCCAGCCUCGGCCUCCCGAGGUGCCGGGAUUGCAGACGGAGUCUCGUUCACUCAGUGCUCAGUGGUGCCCAGGCUGGAGUGCAGUGGCGUGAUCUCGGCUCGCUACAACCUCCACCUCCCAGCCACCUGCCUUGGCCUCCCAAAGUGCCGAGAUUGCAGCCUCUGCCCGGCC
Molecule: long non-coding RNA, 1164 nt
Filed under: Homo sapiens (human)
Lineage: Eukaryota; Metazoa; Chordata; Mammalia; Primates; Hominidae
Description: HSALNT0310420
Source: RNAcentral